This 110-nucleotide ribosomal RNA is filed under the name Erica holtii. Its description in RNAcentral is "partial 28S ribosomal RNA". It matches the Rfam family "Eukaryotic large subunit ribosomal RNA", at positions 1 to 105 of the family's 3401-position model. Lineage: Eukaryota; Viridiplantae; Streptophyta; Magnoliopsida; Ericales; Ericaceae. The record is from RNAcentral.
AAUUGCGACCCCAGGUCAGGCCGGGAUUACCCGCUGAGUUUAAGCAUAUCAAUAAGCGGAGGAAAAGAACUUACAAGGAUUCCCCUAGUAACGGCGAGCGAACCGGGAAU